GGGGGUAGAGCUCAGUGGUAGAGCAUGUGCUUGGCAUGCACAAGGUCCUGGGUUCAAUCCCCAGUGCCUCUG
This 72-nucleotide transfer RNA is filed under the name Camelus ferus (Wild Bactrian camel). It matches the Rfam family "tRNA". Rfam says of the family: Transfer RNA (tRNA) molecules are approximately 80 nucleotides in length. Their secondary structure includes four short double-helical elements and three loops (D, anti-codon, and T loops). Further hydrogen bonds mediate the characteristic L-shaped molecular structure. tRNAs have two regions of fundamental functional importance: the anti-codon, which is responsible for specific mRNA codon recognition, and the 3' end, to which the tRNAs corresponding amino acid is attached (by aminoacyl-tRNA synthetases). tRNAs cope with the degeneracy of the genetic code in two manners: having more than one tRNA (with a specific anti-codon) for a particular amino acid; and 'wobble' base-pairing, i.e. permitting non-standard base-pairing at the 3rd anti-codon position. The record is from Rfam by way of RNAcentral. Lineage: Eukaryota; Metazoa; Chordata; Mammalia; Artiodactyla; Camelidae.